This 401-nucleotide long non-coding RNA is filed under the name Cavia porcellus (domestic guinea pig). RNAcentral's name for it is "lncRNA (ENSCPOG00000036425.1)". The record is from RNAcentral. Lineage: Eukaryota; Metazoa; Chordata; Mammalia; Rodentia; Caviidae.
AUAAGAUUGACCACCACAAGAAAAAUUUAUAAAAAUUCUCAUUUUUUUUUUUUACUUAGACCAAACUUAAAGAAAUGGAGAUUAAUGAAUUUGUGGUCCAGGUCGAAAACCUUACAGCACAACUGAAAGAAGAGGAGAAAGAGUUUAUAAUGAAGGAAAAAAAGUUAAUUCAUGACUUAACCAUAUUUGAGGAUUUAAUUCUUAAGGAAACAAAAAUUAACAAAGAAACAGAAGAAGAGCUUAAUGAUAGUCUUCCACAACUUCAUAUGGCAGAAGAAGAGUACAUGGAAAAACACCGAAAGCUACAAGAGCUCUGUGCGAUCCUCGCAGCCAGCCCCAGAAGUGUACGUACUUCUUCCCCGGUUUCUGGCUUCCCUCCUUCCUAUCCAUCUAUACACGGC